This is a non-coding RNA of Podarcis lilfordi (Lilford's wall lizard), 74 nucleotides long. The record is from the annotation of a GenBank genome assembly. Lineage: Eukaryota; Metazoa; Chordata; Lepidosauria; Squamata; Lacertidae.
GGAUGGCUCAGUUGGUUAGAGUGUGGUGCUGAUUGAUAAUGCUAAGGUUGCAGGUUCAAUCCCCACAUGAGACA